RNAcentral lists this ribosomal RNA (1854 nucleotides) under Xyleborinus saxesenii. Its description in RNAcentral is "SSU rRNA". It matches the Rfam family "Eukaryotic small subunit ribosomal RNA". The record is from RNAcentral. Lineage: Eukaryota; Metazoa; Arthropoda; Insecta; Coleoptera; Curculionidae.
UUGUCUCAAAGAUUAAGCCAUGCAUGUCUCAGUACAAGCUAAAUUAAGGUGAAACCGCGAAAGGCUCAUUAAAUCAGUUAUGGUUCCUUAGAUCGUACCCACACUUACUUGGAUAACUGUGGUAAUUCUAGAGCUAAUACAUGCAAACAGAGCUCCGACCGGAGACGGAAGGAGUGCUUUUAUUAGAUCAAAACCAAUCGGUGGCGGGCGUUCGCGCGCUCGUCGUCGUACAAUUUGGUGACUCUGAAUAACUUUACGCUGAUCGCACGGUCUUAGCACCGGCGACGCAUCUUUCAAAUGUCUGCCUUAUCAACUGUCGAUGGUAGGUUCUGCGCCUACCAUGGUCGUAACGGGUAACGGGGAAUCAGGGUUCGAUUCCGGAGAGGGAGCCUGAGAAACGGCUACCACAUCCAAGGAAGGCAGCAGGCGCGCAAAUUACCCACUCCCGGCACGGGGAGGUAGUGACGAAAAAUAACGAUACGGGACUCAUCCGAGGCCCCGUAAUCGGAAUGAGUACACUCUAAACCCUUUAACGAGGAUCAAUUGGAGGGCAAGUCUGGUGCCAGCAGCCGCGGUAAUUCCAGCUCCAAUAGCGUAUAUUAAAGUUGUUGCGGUUAAAAAGCUCGUAGUCGAAUUUGUGUCUCGCGCCGCCGGUUCAUCGUCCGCGGUGUUAACUGGCGAGUCGCGAGACGUCCUGCCGGUGGGUCGCGCGCGGUCCGCAAGGGUCGCGCACGCCCAACUCAAUCCUGCCGCGGUGCUCUUCGUUGAGUGUCGAGGUGGGCCGGCACGUUUACUUUGAACAAAUUAGAGUGCUUAAAGCAGGCUAAAACUUCGCCUGAAUACUGUGUGCAUGGAAUAAUGGAAUAGGACCUCGGUUCUAUUUUGUUGGUUUUCGGAACCCCGAGGUAAUGAUUAAUAGGAACGGAUGGGGGCAUUCGUAUUGCGACGUUAGAGGUGAAAUUCUUGGAUCGUCGCAAGACGGACAGAAGCGAAAGCAUUUGCCAAAAACGUUUUCAUUGAUCAAGAACGAAAGUUAGAGGUUCGAAGGCGAUCAGAUACCGCCCUAGUUCUAACCAUAAACGAUGCCAGCUAGCGAUCCGCCGACGUUCCUCCGAUGACUCGGCGGGCAGCUUCCGGGAAACCAAAGCUUUUGGUUCCGGGGGAAGUAUGGUUGCAAAGCUGAAACUUAAAGGAAUUGACGGAAGGGCACCACCAGGAGUGGAGCCUGCGGCUUAAUUUGACUCAACACGGGAAACCUCACCAGGCCCGGACACCGGAAGGAUUGACAGAUUGAGAGCUCUUUCUUGAUUCGGUGGGUGGUGGUGCAUGGCCGUUCUUAGUUGGUGGAGCGAUUUGUCUGGUUAAUUCCGAUAACGAACGAGACUCUGGCCUGCUAAAUAGGCGUAUUUUGACAUCCUAAAGGCUCGCCGGUCCGGGGUUCGCGCCCCGCGAUCGUGCGCGGUUUUUACUGUCGACGUACAAACUUUUCUUCUUAGAGGGACAGGCGGCUUCUAGCCGCACGAGAUUGAGCAAUAACAGGUCUGUGAUGCCCUUAGAUGUUCUGGGCCGCACGCGCGCUACACUGAAGGAAUCAGCGUGUCCUCCCUGGCCGAACGGCCCGGGUAACCCGCUGAACCUCCUUCGUGCUAGGGAUUGGGGCUUGCAAUUGUUCCCCAUGAACGAGGAAUUCCCAGUAAGCGCGAGUCAUAAGCUCGCGUUGAUUACGUCCCUGCCCUUUGUACACACCGCCCGUCGCUACUACCGAUUGAAUGAUUUAGUGAGGUCUUCGGACCGAUACGCGAUGGCGUUUCCGGUUCUCGAUGUGUCCGGGAAGAUGACCAAACUUGAUCAUUU